Molecule: ribosomal RNA, 253 nt
Filed under: uncultured bacterium
Lineage: Bacteria
Description: partial 16S ribosomal RNA
Rfam family: Bacterial small subunit ribosomal RNA
Source: RNAcentral
UACGGGGGGAGCAAGCGUUGUUCGGAUUUACUGGGCGUAAAGGGCGCGUAGGCGGCCACUGCAAGUCAGUUGUGAAAUCUCCGGGCUUAACCCGGAAAGGUCAACUGAUACUGCAGGGCUAGAGUGCAGAAGGGGCAACUGGAAUUCUCGGUGUAGCGGUGAAAUGCGUAGAUAUCGAGAGGAACACCUGCGGCGAAGGCGGGUUGCUGGGCUGACACUGACGCUGAGGCGCGAAGCCAGGGGAGCGAACGGG